This 552-nucleotide ribosomal RNA is filed under the name Bifidobacterium longum. RNAcentral describes it as "bacterial SSU rRNA". It matches the Rfam family "Bacterial small subunit ribosomal RNA", at positions 146 to 710 of the family's 1533-position model. Lineage: Bacteria; Bacillati; Actinomycetota; Actinomycetes; Bifidobacteriales; Bifidobacteriaceae. The record is from RNAcentral.
UCUCCUGGGAAACGGGUGGUAAUGCCGGAUGCUCCAGUUGAUCGCAUGGUCUUCUGGGAAAGCUUUCGCGGUAUGGGAUGGGGUCGCGUCCUAUCAGCUUGACGGCGGGGUAACGGCCCACCGUGGCUUCGACGGGUAGCCGGCCUGAGAGGGCGACCGGCCACAUUGGGACUGAGAUACGGCCCAGACUCCUACGGGAGGCAGCAGUGGGGAAUAUUGCACAAUGGGCGCAAGCCUGAUGCAGCGACGCCGCGUGAGGGAUGGAGGCCUUCGGGUUGUAAACCUCUUUUAUCGGGGAGCAAGCGAGAGUGAGUUUACCCGUUGAAUAAGCACCGGCUAACUACGUGCCAGCAGCCGCGGUAAUACGUAGGGUGCAAGCGUUAUCCGGAAUUAUUGGGCGUAAAGGGCUCGUAGGCGGUUCGUCGCGUCCGGUGUGAAAGUCCAUCGCUUAACGGUGGAUCCGCGCCGGGUACGGGCGGGCUUGAGUGCGGUAGGGGAGACUGGAAUUCCCGGUGUAACGGUGGAAUGUGUAGAUAUCGGGAAAAGAACACC